AGAGUUUGAUCCUGGCUCAGAUUGAACGCUGGCGGCAUGCCUUACACAUGCAAGUCGAACGGCAGCGCGGGGGGUAACUCCUGGCGGCGAGUGGCGAACGGGUGAGUAAUAUAUCGGAACGUGCCCUGGAGUGGGGGAUAACUAGUCGAAAGAUUAGCUAAUACCGCAUACGAUCUACGGAUGAAAGUGGGGGAUUCGCAAGAACCUCAUGCUCGUGGAGCGGCCGAUAUCUGAUUAGCUAGUUGGUAGGGUAAAAGCCUACCAAGGCGACGAUCAGUAGCUGGUUUGAGAGAACGACCAGCCACACUGGGACUGAGACACGGCCCAGACUCCUACGGGAGGCAGCAGUGGGGAAUUUUGGACAAUGGGGGCAACCCUGAUCCAGCAAUGCCGCGUGUGUGAAGAAGG
Molecule: ribosomal RNA, 408 nt
Filed under: uncultured bacterium
Lineage: Bacteria
Description: bacterial SSU rRNA
Rfam family: Bacterial small subunit ribosomal RNA
Source: RNAcentral